RNAcentral lists this ribosomal RNA (403 nucleotides) under uncultured bacterium. RNAcentral's name for it is "partial 16S ribosomal RNA". It matches the Rfam family "Bacterial small subunit ribosomal RNA", at positions 30 to 526 of the family's 1533-position model. The record is from RNAcentral.
AUUGAACGCUGGCGGCAUGCCUAACACAUGCAAGUCGAGCGAGCGGCGGACGGGUGAGUAAUGUAUGGGGACUGCCCGCUAGAGGGGGAUAACUACUGGAAACGGUGGCUAAUACCGCAUACUGUCGGGUUACCCAUAUGGGAUUAGCUAGUAGGUAAGGUAAUGGCUUACCUAGGCGACGAUCCCUAGCUGGUCUGAGAGGCUGAUCAGCCACACUGGGACUGAGACACGGCCAAGACGCCUACGGAGGCAGCAGUGGGGAAGAUUGCGCAAUGGGCGAAAGCCUGAUGCAGCCAUGCCGCGUGUAUGAAGAAGGGCCUAGGGUUUUAAAGUACUUUAAGUCGGGAGGCGUUACCGACAGAAGAAGCACCGGCUAACUCCGUGCCAGCAGCCGCGGUAAUAC